Molecule: ribosomal RNA, 253 nt
Filed under: uncultured bacterium
Lineage: Bacteria
Description: partial 16S ribosomal RNA
Rfam family: Bacterial small subunit ribosomal RNA
Source: RNAcentral
UACGUAGGGGGCAAGCGUUGUCCGGAUUUAUUGGGCGUAAAGAGCGUGUAGGCGGCCAUACAGGUCCGUUGUGAAAACUGGAGGCUUAACCUCCAGACGUCGAUGGAAACCGUAUGGCUAGAGUCCGGAAGAGGAGAGUGGAAUUCCUGGUGUAGCGGUGAAAUGCGCAGAUAUCAGGAAGAACACCAGCGGCGAAGGCGGCACUCUGGGUUGGUAUUGACGCUGAGGAGCGAAAGUGUGGGUAGCAAACAGG